RNAcentral lists this ribosomal RNA (301 nucleotides) under uncultured bacterium. RNAcentral's name for it is "partial 16S ribosomal RNA". It matches the Rfam family "Bacterial small subunit ribosomal RNA", at positions 509 to 807 of the family's 1533-position model. The record is from RNAcentral.
CAGCAGCCACGGGAAUACGUAGGGUGCGAGCGUUAAUCGGAAUUACUGGGCGUAAAGCGUGCGCAGGCGGUUAUAUAAGUCAGAUGUGAAAUCCCCGGGCUCAACCUGGGAACUGCAUUUGAGACUGUAUGGCUAGAGUGUGUCAGAGGGGGGUAGGAUUCCACGUGUAGCAGUGAAAUGCGUAGAUAUGUGGAGGAAUACCGAUGGCGAAGGCAGCCCCCUGGGAUAACACUGACGCUCAUGCACGAAAGCGUGGGGAGCAAACAGGAUUAGAGACCCCUGUAGUCCCUGUCUCUUAUAC